RNAcentral lists this long non-coding RNA (2701 nucleotides) under Bemisia tabaci. RNAcentral's name for it is "lncRNA ENSSSA1UGG007532". Lineage: Eukaryota; Metazoa; Arthropoda; Insecta; Hemiptera; Aleyrodidae. The record is from RNAcentral.
UGUUGAUAUAGCGUUUUCCUUUCAUUUUCCAAGUGCCUCAUUCAUUAAUUGAGCUCAAAUUUAUGUUUCAGGCUAAAAUGAGCGCCAAUGAUCAGCUUUCGAAUCAAGUGGUCCUCAAAGGAAACGGUUUGGAAGAUGGUCGAAUGGACGGUGUCGGGGGUGGCGGUGGAACGACCCCCUCUGUAUAUAACAGUUCCGUACCCCGAUCUCAUAGUUCCGCGAGCAAUUCCUGCUCGCCACCCACGGGCGCCGUGCCCUCGACCAUGCUCGUCGUCCCGCAGCCAACUCGUAUCGCCGACCCUCACCACAUAGUCACCCAGAACGGCUCCAAUAGGCGCUACCAGUGUAAAAUGUGCCCUUCGGUAAGUCCUAUCACCACUUAUUCCCUUACAAUACCCUUCGUAUCCUUCUUUCUACGGAAGAAAGGCUGCCGAAGAUGAUGGUUGAUUUGGUUCCUCCUGGGAGGAGACGAAGAGGACGCCCAGUGAAAGGAUGGCGACAGGGGUUUUAGAGGAAAUGAGGAAGUGCGCCAACUUCCUGAAGGGCUUUGGAAGGAUGGAAGACUUUGAAGGCUGGGUGUCUCCUUCAAAAUUUCGAGGGUUCCCACAAGUUGUUUCCUGUAACCUAGGAGCACUCGCAAACUUUUCAGACUAUAUCUCAAUUUGUUCAAAAGUUGUAGGGGUGAUGUCUGGUACUUUUGGUGCGGGACUUCUUGUCGUGUUGAACGGGAAUCUAGUGGCCUGAGAAUGGUAAUUUUUGUCAUUACAGUAAUAAGUAAAUGUCGAGAAAAUAAAAAUUAAAUGAAGCGGAGAAAUUUGGGUCCUUUACGGAGGAGGACACCAUGCUCAAUCAGAGCAACACCUGAUGGUACUUACCAGGUUUUGAAUUUCCCCUAUUCGAGAUUUUUUUUGUAUAAAUGUUGUCAGAAUGGCAACCUCGCGUGGAAAGAGGAUCAGCGCCGGCUAACAAGAGGAUUCGAGCAUAAUUAGAGAAUGCUUCGAUUGCGGACAAAGCAAAGCAACGACCGAUACCGCAAGUGGUGAAGCGUGAAUGAUCGACUAUCGAUGUAUUCCCAUUUGAAACUAUGCUAAAGAAUCGAUGAAUAAUCGAAUAUCCUGAAUAUCGAUUCUUCUCUAUAGGUUUAAACGGCUGAUCGAUCGAUUCAUCGCAAGCCGGCAACCGCCGAUGACAACUUUCGGGCAGUCGCUCGUCGUCGGCUCGUUACGAAAACCGAAACCAGGUGGGAACCGAUGGCGGCGACAACGAUAAACUAGAUUCCCUGUUCACACCCAAAAUACUGGUUUGGCUCACUUCACUCCACUUCGCUCUUUCCCCUGUUUCCCUCGCUUUCGGGAAGUUUCGUGCUGAUUCAGAUUCGGAUUCCAAACUCGUUUUCCCAUAUUCCGAUGUCGUCGUGGGGGUUGCCGAACUGACUCACAAAAAUCACCUCUUCGGCAUUGUGGAAGAUGAUACCAUGUAACAGAAUUUUAGGAUCGAUAUUGAUAAAUGAAGCGCAAUUGACACUACCAAAGUUUCCAUUAAAUUUUUGCAUGCAACUUGUCGCACUGAAAAGUUGGAUAGUGUGAUACUGACUCGAGAAAACGACAAUUUGAUGACAAAUUGGACGAAAACUUGAAUGUGACGUCACAUUCAACUUUUCGCUCAACUUUCCAUCCAAUUGGCGGCGCCAAUUGGAUGGAAAGGAUGAAACUUUUAUGUAACAAAUAGUUCGGUGCAAUUUGAAUGCUGUGGCUUCGAUAACAAUACCACAUUGUAACGAGGACCAAACGUUGUAACGUAGUCGCAAUGUUACUUUUUUAGUAAAAGAUAGUAGAAAAGUAUGCGGCAAGGUUAAAGUUCAUAUUGUUACGUUAGUGUAAUUUGACGUAACCAGCCGUAUAUGAUGUAAUGUAACGUAACAUGAUUUUCGUAUUUUUGUGAGUAAAGUUCGAGGCAUUUUUAAUGGUUUCGUGUGUUUUUACACGGACUGAUUUGAGCUCCUUGAUUUUUUUGUAUUGUUUUUAUUUGUUAUUUUAAAUUUUUUUAAAUGCAUUUUUUACUAAAUUGACUCAAAUAAAUGACAAAAAACGAAAGCCAGCUGAUGGAAGGAGGAAAGUUCUUUCAAACGGAGAGAGGGGAAAAAUUACCAAGCAAAAUGAGCCAAAUACCGUUGGCUAUCUAGAAUAUCGUUUUUGCUGUUUAGGAUUUUCAACAGGUAACUUGCUAGGUAAUUAUCAUUUGGGAGAACGGAUGAUCUAGUGUGAAAAACUGUAGCCAUUCAAUUACAACAAUGAAACUAUUGAGAAAACAUUCUUUUCGAUGAAACCAUCGUCGUAAAAACUGUUUUUCUUUUUUUUGGCUUCAGACUUUAAAGAGGAAAAAAUGUGUAAAUAAAAAAUAUGACUUUCAUGCAAAAACUAAACUUUACACACUUAUUUUAAAAAAUACUCUAGAACUUGGUCACUUUCCUCCUUUGCAUCUUAUAAUGCCUGAGUGGCUUUUUGCUUGAAGAUUCAAAAACUAAUGGUGUUUUUUGUGUCCUCAAGAAGUGCAUUUUUCAAAAAUCAAUUCAUCAAGCAUAUGGUAAAAGAAACACAAGAUUCUUUUGAAAAAAUCUUUCGGAGAACAUUUUUCAUAGUUGAUUCUCAACUUCAAAAAUGAACACACCGUUUUAUAAGACACGUGCACGGGUUUUUUUUGG